Molecule: ribosomal RNA, 429 nt
Filed under: Acidobacteriota bacterium
Lineage: Bacteria; Pseudomonadati; Acidobacteriota
Description: Acidobacteria bacterium partial 16S ribosomal RNA
Rfam family: Bacterial small subunit ribosomal RNA
Source: RNAcentral
UGGGGAAUUUUGGACAAUGGGGGAAACCCUGAUCCAGCCAUCCCGCGUGUGCGAUGAAGGCCUUCGGGUUGUAAAGCACUUUUGGCAGGAAAGAAACGUCAUGGGUUAAUACCCCGUGAAACUGACGGUACCUGCAGAAUAAGUACCGGCUAACUACGUGCCAGCAGCCGCGGUAAUACGUAGGGUGCAAGCGUUAAUCGGAAUUACUGGGCGUAAAGCGUGCGCAGGCGGUUCGGAAAGAAAGAUGUGAAAUCCCAGAGCUCAACUUUGGAACUGCAUUUUUAACUACCGGGCUAGAGUGUGUCAGAGGGAGGUGGAAUUCCGCGUGUAGCAGUGAAAUGCGUAGAUAUGCGGAGGAACACCGAUGGCGAAGGCAGCCUCCUGGGAUAACACUGACGCUCAUGCACGAAAGCGUGGGGAGCAAACAGG